Molecule: ribosomal RNA, 497 nt
Filed under: uncultured bacterium
Lineage: Bacteria
Description: partial 16S ribosomal RNA
Rfam family: Bacterial small subunit ribosomal RNA
Source: RNAcentral
GAUGAACGCUGGCGGCGUGCCUAAUACAUGCAAGUCGAGCGAACAGACGAGGAGCUUGCUCCUCUGACGUUAGCGGCGGACGGGUGAGUAACACGUGGAUAACCUACCUAUAAGACUGGGAUAACUUCGGGAAACCGGAGCUACUACCGGAUAAUAUAUUGAACCGCAUGGUUCAAUAGUGAAAGACGGUUUUGCUGUCACUUAUAGAUGGAUCCGCGCCGCAUUAGCUAGUUGGUAAGGUAACGGCUUACCAAGGCAACGAUGCGUAGCCGACCUGAGAGGGUGAUCGGCCACACUGGAGCUGAGACACGGUCCAGACUCCUACGGGAGGCAGCAGUAGGGAAUCUUCCGCAAUGGGCGAAAGCCUGACGGAGCAACGCCGCGUGAGUGAUGAAGGUCUUCGGAUCGUAAAACUCUGUUAUUAGGGAAGAACAAAUGUGUAAGUAACUAUGCACGUCUUGACGGUACCUAAUCAGAAAGCCACGGCUAACUACGUG